AGCGGCGGACGGGUGAGUAACACGUGGGUAACCUACCUAUAAGACUGGAAUAACUUCGGGAAACCGGAGCUAAUGCCGGAUAACAUAUAGAACCGCAUGGUUCUAUAGUGAAAGAUGGUUUUGCUAUCACUUAUAGAUGGACCCGCGCCGUAUUAGCUAGUUGGUAAGGUAAUGGCUUACCAAGGCGACGAUACGUAGCCGACCUGAGAGGGUGAUCGGCCACACUGGAACUGAGACACGGUCCAGACUCCUACGGGAGGCAGCAGUAGGGAAUCUUCCGCAAUGGGCGAAAGCCUGACGGAGCAACGCCGCGUGAGUGAUGAAGGUUUUCGGAUCGUAAAACUCUGUUAUUAGGGAAGAACAAAUGCGUAAGUAACUGUGCGCAUCUUGACGGUACCUAAUCAGAAAGCCACGGCUAACUACGUGCCAGCAGCCGCGGUAAUACGUAGGUGGCAAGCGUUAUCCGGAAUUAUUGGGCGUAAAGCGCGCGUAGGCGGUUUCUUAAGUCUGAUGUG
RNAcentral lists this ribosomal RNA (515 nucleotides) under Staphylococcus succinus. Its description in RNAcentral is "bacterial SSU rRNA". It matches the Rfam family "Bacterial small subunit ribosomal RNA", at positions 94 to 596 of the family's 1533-position model. Lineage: Bacteria; Bacillati; Bacillota; Bacilli; Caryophanales; Staphylococcaceae. The record is from RNAcentral.